GCCGACGUAGCUCAAACGGCGGAGCAUCCGCCUUGUAAGCGGAGGGUUGUGGGUUCAAUUCCCACCGUCGGCU
This 73-nucleotide transfer RNA is filed under the name Pseudomonadota bacterium. Its description in RNAcentral is "tRNA-Thr". It matches the Rfam family "tRNA". From Rfam's summary of the family: Transfer RNA (tRNA) molecules are approximately 80 nucleotides in length. RNAcentral also lists the same sequence under 2 other names. Lineage: Bacteria; Pseudomonadati; Pseudomonadota. The record is from RNAcentral.